RNAcentral lists this ribosomal RNA (1522 nucleotides) under Staphylococcus aureus. RNAcentral describes it as "bacterial LSU rRNA". It matches the Rfam family "Bacterial large subunit ribosomal RNA", at positions 1408 to 2925 of the family's 2925-position model. The record is from RNAcentral. Lineage: Bacteria; Bacillati; Bacillota; Bacilli; Caryophanales; Staphylococcaceae.
GGCGUAGGCGAUGGAUAACAGGUUGAUAUUCCUGUACCACCUAUAAUCGUUUUAAUCGAUGGGGGGACGCAGUAGGAUAGGCGAAGCGUGCGAUUGGAUUGCACGUCUAAGCAGUAAGGCUGAGUAUUAGGCAAAUCCGGUACUCGUUAAGGCUGAGCUGUGAUGGGGAGAAGACAUUGUGUCUUCGAGUCGUUGAUUUCACACUGCCGAGAAAAGCCUCUAGAUAGAAAAUAGGUGCCCGUACCGCAAACCGACACAGGUAGUCAAGAUGAGAAUUCUAAGGUGAGCGAGCGAACUCUCGUUAAGGAACUCGGCAAAAUGACCCCGUAACUUCGGGAGAAGGGGUGCUCUUUAGGGUUAACGCCCAGAAGAGCCGCAGUGAAUAGGCCCAAGCGACUGUUUAUCAAAAACACAGGUCUCUGCUAAACCGUAAGGUGAUGUAUAGGGGCUGACGCCUGCCCGGUGCUGGAAGGUUAAGAGGAGUGGUUAGCUUCUGCGAAGCUACGAAUCGAAGCCCCAGUAAACGGCGGCCGUAACUAUAACGGUCCUAAGGUAGCGAAAUUCCUUGUCGGGUAAGUUCCGACCCGCACGAAAGGCGUAACGAUUUGGGCACUGUCUCAACGAGAGACUCGGUGAAAUCAUAGUACCUGUGAAGAUGCAGGUUACCCGCGACAGGACGGAAAGACCCCGUGGAGCUUUACUGUAGCCUGAUAUUGAAAUUCGGCACAGCUUGUACAGGAUAGGUAGGAGCCUUUGAAACGUGAGCGCUAGCUUACGUGGAGGCGCUGGUGGGAUACUACCCUAGCUGUGUUGGCUUUCUAACCCGCACCACUUAUCGUGGUGGGAGACAGUGUCAGGCGGGCAGUUUGACUGGGGCGGUCGCCUCCUAAAAGGUAACGGAGGCGCUCAAAGGUUCCCUCAGAAUGGUUGGAAAUCAUUCAUAGAGUGUAAAGGCAUAAGGGAGCUUGACUGCGAGACCUACAAGUCGAGCAGGGUCGAAAGACGGACUUAGUGAUCCGGUGGUUCCGCAUGGAAGGGCCAUCGCUCAACGGAUAAAAGCUACCCCGGGGAUAACAGGCUUAUCUCCCCCAAGAGUUCACAUCGACGGGGAGGUUUGGCACCUCGAUGUCGGCUCAUCGCAUCCUGGGGCUGUAGUCGGUCCCAAGGGUUGGGCUGUUCGCCCAUUAAAGCGGUACGCGAGCUGGGUUCAGAACGUCGUGAGACAGUUCGGUCCCUAUCCGUCGUGGGCGUAGGAAAUUUGAGAGGAGCUGUCCUUAGUACGAGAGGACCGGGAUGGACAUACCUCUGGUGUACCAGUUGUCGUGCCAACGGCAUAGCUGGGUAGCUAUGUGUGGACGGGAUAAGUGCUGAAAGCAUCUAAGCAUGAAGCCCCCCUCAAGAUGAGAUUUCCCAACUUCGGUUAUAAGAUCCCUCAAAGAUGAUGAGGUUAAUAGGUUCGAGGUGGAAGCAUGGUGACAUGUGGAGCUGACGAAUACUAAUCGAUCGAAGACUUAAUCAAAUU